GACGAACGCUGGCGGCGUGCUUAACACAUGCAAGUCGAACGGAAAGGCCCUGCUUUUGUGGGGUGCUCGAGUGGCGAACGGGUGAGUAACACGUGAGUAACCUGCCCUUGACUUUGGGAUAACUUCAGGAAACUGGGGCUAAUAUCGGAUAGGAGCUCCUGCUGCAUGGUGGGGGUUGGAAAGUUUCGGCGGUUGGGGAUGGACUCGCGGCUUAUCAGCUUGUUGGUGGGGUAGUGGCUUAUCAAGGGUUUGAAGGGUAGCCGGCCUGAGAGGGUGACCGGCCACAUUGGGACUAAGAUACGGCGCAGACUCCUACGGGAGGCAGCAGGGGGGAAUAUUGCACAAUGGGCGGAAGCCUGAUGCAGCAACGCCGCGUGCGGGAUGACGGCCUUCGGGUUGUAAACCGCUUUCGCCUGUGACGAAGCGUGAGUGACGGUAAUGGGUAAAGAAGCACCGGCUAACUACGUG
RNAcentral lists this ribosomal RNA (468 nucleotides) under uncultured bacterium. RNAcentral describes it as "partial 16S ribosomal RNA". It matches the Rfam family "Bacterial small subunit ribosomal RNA", at positions 28 to 507 of the family's 1533-position model. The record is from RNAcentral.